UGGGGAAUAUUGGACAAUGGGGGCAACCCUGAUCCAGCAAUGCCGCGUGUGUGAAGAAGGUCUUCGGAUUGUAAAGCACUUUCGACGGGGACGAUGAUGACGGUACCCGUAGAAGAAGCCCCGGCUAACUUCGUGCCAGCAGCCGCGGUAAUACGAAGGGGGCUAGCGUUGCUCGGAAUGACUGGGCGUAAAGGGCGUGUAGGCGGUUUACACAGUCAGAUGUGAAAUCCCCGGGCUUAACCUGGGAGCUGCAUUUGAUACGUGUAGACUAGAGUGUGAGAGAGGGUCGUGGAAUUCCCAGUGUAGAGGUGAAAUUCGUAGAUAUUGGGAAGAACACCGGUGGCGAAGGCGGCAACCUGGCUCAUGACUGACGCUGAGGCGCGAAAGCGUGGGGAGCAAACAGGAUUAGAUACCCUGGUAGUCCACGCUGUAAACGAUGUGUGCUAGAUGUUGGGUAACUUUGUUAUUCAGUGUCGCAGUUAACGCGUUAAGCAC
RNAcentral lists this ribosomal RNA (495 nucleotides) under uncultured bacterium. Its description in RNAcentral is "partial 16S ribosomal RNA". It matches the Rfam family "Bacterial small subunit ribosomal RNA", at positions 355 to 867 of the family's 1533-position model. The record is from RNAcentral.